AAACUAUACUACAUAUUGUUUUAGUACAUCAGAUUAAAGAGGGGGUGUACAUCAAAACUCAGAAGCGACACAAUAACCUGAAUUCACAAACAACUACGUAUGGUUAAAAGGUGUUAAAACUGUGACAUGUAAGAGCACACACUUUUUUCUUCAUGAUCUUGCAUUUAAUGAGCAAGCAGGGCUCUGGUCAGCAUCUAAAGCUGUGAGGGGGUAUGUUGGCACUCACAACAGGAGCAGAGGUGAAGGACUGUUAGGGAGACAGAUGAAAGCAAACUCAAGUAUGGAGUCCAUGUCAUGAGGGUAAUCACAAAUCAGAGUGGAAAGAAUAGGAGGGAGGGGUAAUUAUACAGAUGGAAAGUGGGUGAUUAAACAGUACACAGCAAACCAUGUAGCUCAGCGAUCAGUAAUAGACUGCAUUGCUGGACAGAGAGCCCAGUGCAUUAGUGACAAGUACUGAUAGAGAGAGAGAGAGAGACAGAGGAGAGAGAGAGAGAGAGAGAGAGCGAGAGGAGAGAGAGAGAGAUGAGAGAGAGAGAGAGAGAAGAGAGAGGCACCAGGAUUAUAUAUAAUAUAAUCCACUACUGCCGGACACACAUAGAGGGGGGACCGACGAUAGCAUCCGGAACAGUGGUGUAACUGCCAGUGCUGCCCCAGUGCUACCAGGAGACGGAAGAAUGUCUGGUUUCAGAGUGCUGUUGCUGCUGCUCUGCGUCUCUGGCUCCCAGCUCCCCUGGUGCGCUCGCAGUCCCCAUCGGGCCUUCUCACUUGUGUGGUCCUGAUCUGGCGGACGCCUUGUAUUUGAUCUGUGACAUAUCAUGGCUUCCAAAGAGGCGUGCGGAGGCCAGAGUUGUCCUGGAUCAUAGCAGAGGAAGACAAAAUUCACCAAUGAGCAUUUUUGAGAAGUGCUGUGGCUCAGCCUGUGAUAUUCAUGUCUUGCAGGAAUAUUGUGAAAACAUACAAUAGGUGUUGAUAUUUGGAUUAAUGCCAUAAUAAAUGCCAAUGCUAAACCUGCUAACUGUUGCUGAAAAGCAUUCAGAAUGUCACAUGAACCACAAAAUGUAGGGAUCUAAGUUGUAUUGAAACUAUCUUGCAGUGAUUCGUAGAUGUAACAUUCAGAGAAGGAUUUGUGGAGUUCUAUCCCGAUUGUGUGUUAUGAGUGUGAGAAGGAACAUAACAGAAUACUGUGAUUAAACAUAAUAGAAACCACAUGGUGUGAUCAUAAUAGCCGAUUAAUAUGGAAGUUAAUCUGAAAUUAGUCAUGCAGCCGAAUACUAUGAUACGAUACACAAUAGCCUACAUUUCUCAGACAAAUCACUGUAGAAUAUGUGCUAUGCAUUACAUGGUCAUGGUCAACAAAGGAGGAUGCUUCCCUUUUUUUGCUGGAAAACAAUAUAUGGAUUUUAUUCACUUAGGCUACUCAAACAUUUCUUUAUACAGCACCUGGCACACAUUACACCCAGCAAACAGGGGUUCUAUUGCCCAACUUCAUUCUAGAAACUAUGUUCAAUGCAGUAGCUUCUGCAUGGCAACACAGCUUCAUCAUUUUUGCAGCUAACCUAUUAUUUACCUCCUCCUACCUCCUCUUAUGUUUGAGAAUCAAAUCUGACCAUUUCCAAUAGGCUUUUGUUUUCACAGGCUGUAUUAGUAAUUUAGUAUGAAAUGCAGUCACACUAACUAGGCCUUCUCGGUGUUGAACCAGUUUAGUGGUAGAACUAGGGAUGCUAAACCAGAACUAGAGAUGCUAAACCAGAACUACAGAUGCUAAACCAGAACUAGAGAUGCUAAACCAGAACUACAGAUGCUAAACCAGAACUAGGGAUGCUAAACCAGAACUAGAGAUGCUAAACCAGAACUACAGAUGCUAAACCAGAACUACAGAUGCUAAACCAGAACUACAGAUGCUAAACCAGAACUAGGGAUGCAUUUCCACAAGAAAGUGCAAGUGUGAUUGACCCGCACCAUCAGAGGGCCGUGAUUUUUCUUACUCUAUGCAAGCUAGGUUGACAUGAGCGCUUCAAGCUACGAAGAAUGGUUUGACAUACCCCCAUUGGCAUGUCAUACUGUAGGCUAUGCGCGUAGCUUAGACCUAUGAAAAGAAGGUUUUGACUCUGCUACUCCCUGUUGGAUGAGUGGUAAUGCAUCUGAAAGGUGCAGGGCAGUGUACUUGAUUUCAUGAUUUUUUUGUGUGUUUUUUUUGCAAUCAGAUUUUGUGGUGGUGAUUUGAGAAAUUUUGCGAAUUUUGUUUCUCUUUAAACCCCAUUUAAAUGCCACAAAACAAAUUAUCAGACAGAUUAUCUAUAUGAGUAUUUUUAAUAUGUUUAGUAUUUUGAUACUUUUUGUUUUAAUACUUUUUUUUAUGUUUUUUUUUUUACUUUUCAAUGUUAUUGAAAUAAGUUAAAAUAAAAUGUCAUGCCUUGGUUUGAACCUUUGAACUCCAAAAGCACAAGUUCUUGUUAAUAUUCAGAACAGUAAUCAUGAGUAAUCCUGUACUAUUGUUUAAAGAAAUCUGAACAGAAAACAUUAGAAAACAGGUGACCAAUUGUGUCUACUUCUCCAACAUUCUAAAAUGUUCUUAAUUCUUAAAUCGUGGAAUAAUGAAAAGCUGGAGGGACUGUCCAACGUUUCAACACACCUAACUUAAUCACUCAGAUUAAAAAGUUUACACUAAAUUACACCCAUGAGUAUCGCAGUUAAUGUUCAUGUCUACAUCAUUCGACACCCCUGUUUUGUUGACUUGUUAAGAAGUGUUUGCUAGCAAUCCCAGUAAAUGCAGGCACUUCUCUUUC
This is a long non-coding RNA of Clupea harengus (Atlantic herring), 2786 nucleotides long. NCBI's taxonomy places the organism in Eukaryota, Metazoa, Chordata, Actinopteri, Clupeiformes, Clupeidae. The record is from Ensembl.